GACGAACGCUGGCGGCGUGCCUAAUACAUGCAAGUCGAACGCUUCUUUCCUCCCGAGUGCUUGCACUCGAUUGGAAAGAGGAGAGGCGAACGGGUGAGUAACACGUGGGUAACCUACCCAUCAGAGGGGGAUAACACUUGGAAACAGGUGCUAAUACCGCAUAACAGUUUAUGCCGCAUGGCAUAAGAGUGAAAGGCGCUUUCGGGUGUCGCUGAUGGAUGGACCCGCGGUGCAUUAGCUAGUUGGUGAGGUAACGGCUCACCAAGGCCACGAUGCAUAGCCGACCUGAGAGGGUGAUCGGCCACACUGGGACUGAGACACGGCCCAGACUCCUACGGGAGGCAGCAGUAGGGAAUCUUCGGCAAUGGACGAAAGUCUGACCGAGCAACGCCGCGUGAGUGAAGAAGGUUUUCGGAUCGUAAAACUCUGUUGUUAGAGAAGAACAAGGACGUUAGUAACUGAACGUCCCCUGACGGUAUCUAACCAGAAAGCCACGGCUAACUACGUGCCAGCCGCCGCCGUAA
Molecule: ribosomal RNA, 524 nt
Filed under: uncultured bacterium
Lineage: Bacteria
Description: partial 16S ribosomal RNA
Rfam family: Bacterial small subunit ribosomal RNA
Source: RNAcentral